This is an RNA transcript of Mauremys reevesii (Reeves's turtle), 1590 nucleotides long. It is a transcript of the gene named leucine rich repeat containing 18, with no coding region annotated. Lineage: Eukaryota; Metazoa; Chordata; Testudines; Geoemydidae. The record is from RefSeq and is a predicted model, not a curated record. The transcript is spliced from 2 exons.
CCAGGUGGAGAGGGCUGCAUGAGUAGCAGGCGAUGCUACUAUCUGAUGAGUGUUCAUUACACUAUCAUGCAGGAGCCAGGAAGGAAGAGUCUGGUCCCACUCCCCAGCUCGGCUGGGACAGCAAGGACUGGGGAUGCUGUGGAAGCAGUAUGUCUAUCCUGUGGGGAGGGAGGACUUUGUGCUCCUCGUGAGGGAUCCCACCCUCCUACUCAGGAAUGACACCAGCAUGUGUGAAGAGACAAUGAACACACAGAGUUCUUGGUCCUCCAGUUCCCAGAGCAGAACAGCUGUUUCCCAAACAACAUGGCGUAUUGACACCUACCUGUAGAAGAAAGCGCAUCAGAUGUAUCUCUUUAAUGUCACUGUACGCAUAACGGGAACAUGCCUGAUCUCCCAUACCUUGCUCUUUGUGGCAUAAGCUGAAAAUAAAUGGAUCGGUGAUGCUGAAAGAGGUAAAAACAGAAAUGUGUUUGAGAUGGACAAGAACAAGCAAGGCCUUUGCAACAAACAUGCUGGAUGUGAGGAAAGCCUCGGGCAUAACCCUAUACACAGCCACCACCACUUAGUCUUGGAAUACCCUCCAUUAAUGCACAAAUGGCUUUAUGUACGUUUCUACAGAGCCUGGUAUCCUAGAAGGUCUGUGAUGUCAGCCAGAGCAUGGAAGGUUUCAAACACCCUGAAGGCAAUUUCAUCCUGGAUCCUGAAACAAAGAGGGAGCUAGUGGAGCGUGAAGGUCCGUUUGGUGUGAUCAUGCUUUUUAGGACAUGUAAGUGGACAGCAGCAGCAUUCUGUACAUGCUGUCUCAAAAGCAGUGACACAAAAAAAGUCCACAGAGAAAGGAUUUGCAGUAGUCGAGGUGGGAGGAGAUGGAGGUCUGGAUGAAGUAGAGCCAUGGCCAAGGGACGUUGUUGAUCACAAAGGGCUGCAUUGUGAUAUCUUUACCCCUAUUUGGUAGUACCUUACUUCUCAGAUAGUCCCAUUGACUUGAAAGGGUCUUCACAUAUUACUCAGUCUGAGGAGAGGUAUAAUAACUGGGUCCAAAAUGAUCACGUCCUUUAAAAGAAAUCCAGUGAAAGCAUGAGACAGUGUUUUCCCAGAAGCCGAUCUGGUCACUACUUGAUUCACCCAAUCAUACAAACUCAUCCGAUCACUAACAUUUUAUCCAGUAGGAAGUGGAUGUAAAGCAGUGACCAUCGAUGCACAGUCAAUGAGAAAAACAAUGAGUUACUCACUUCCCAGUGGACUCUGAGCACAAACACCCCCAUAUGCAUCCACAGAGCAUGAGCAGAAAGCCAGCCUACAAACCCAUUUUCAAUAAAACAAGAAUCAUAAAAACAGGGUCAGUGUGCCAAGUAUUAAUUAUGAUCCCUUCAGCCUUGGAGAAAGAAAUAGGAACUCAUCAACCAAUGAACCAAAAGACUCUUCUAAAGAAUGUUCCAUAUGAAUAAAAGAUGGGAGAGAUGAAGAAGGAAAUACCAACACCACUUAAUGACACCAGAAAAAGAGAAUAAUUUCCAUCUGUAAUGGGGCUGCGUCUUCCUAUCUCUCUCUAUAUGCUUAGCACAUUUCGGGUGGGGCUGUAAUAUAAAU